AAGUGGGGGACACAACCGGGGACACAACUGGGGACACAACCGGGGACACAACCGGGGACACAACUGGGGACACAACCGGGGACACAACCGGAGAUACAACUGGAGACACAACUGGGGAUACAACUGGGGACACAACCGGGGACACAACCGGGGACACAACCGGGGAUACAACCAAGGACACAACCGGGAAAACAGCCAAGGACACAACUGGGGUUACAACCGGGGACACAACUGGGACACAACUGGGGACACAACCAAAGACACAGCCGGGGACACAACUGGGGAUACAACCGGGGACACAACCGGGGACACAACCGGGAAAACAGCCAAGGACACAACUGGGGUUACAACCGGGGAUACAACCGGGGACACAACCAGAGACACAACCGGGGACACAACCGGAGACAGAAAUCUCAACCGGUGACAGGAGGGGACAGAGCCGGGCACGUGGCGAGGAACGCAACCACGGUGCCACAGCGCAACAACGGGGACAAAGCGGUGACACAACCGCGGGGACAACACCACCACCAGGGCCACAACAACCAGAGCAGAGACCCUGUUCUGUGCCUUUGCUUCGGCAUCUUUCGUGUGACACUCGGCAAUUUCCGGGAUCAUCCGCUCGUGCUUCGGCACCUUUCGAUAACUUCCGCCACUGUUUCGGCCAGUUCCGUCUCUUUCCGUCAGCGUUCGGGCACCUCCGUUUAACUUCGGUCAUUUCCGUCACCCUCCGGAGGCCCUUCGGUGAUCUCCGCCCACUUCCGGCAGUGCUUCGUUGA
Molecule: long non-coding RNA, 776 nt
Filed under: Parus major (Great Tit)
Lineage: Eukaryota; Metazoa; Chordata; Aves; Passeriformes; Paridae
Description: lncRNA (ENSPMJG00000003687.1)
Source: RNAcentral